UACGUAGGUGGCAAGCGUUAUCCGGAAUUAUUGGGCGUAAAGCGCGCGCAGGCGGUUUCUUAAGUCUGAUGUGAAAGCCCACGGCUCAACCGUGGAGGGUCAUUGGAAACUGGGGAACUUGAGUGCAGAAGAGAAAAGCGGAAUUCCACGUGUAGCGGUGAAAUGCGUAGAGAUGUGGAGGAACACCAGUGGCGAAGGCGGGUCUCUGGGCCGUAACUGACGCUGAGGAGCGAAAGCGUGGGGAGCGAACAGG
Molecule: ribosomal RNA, 253 nt
Filed under: uncultured bacterium
Lineage: Bacteria
Description: partial 16S ribosomal RNA
Rfam family: Bacterial small subunit ribosomal RNA
Source: RNAcentral